GAGUUUGAUCAUGGCUCAGGACAAACGCUGGCGGCGUGUAUUAGGCAUGCAAGUCGCACGGACCUUCGGGUCAGUGGCGGACGGGUGAGUAACACGUGGGUAACCUGCCUUGGAGUGGGGAAUAACUCUCCGAAAGGAGAGCUAAUACCGCAUACCACUCUCGGUGAGAAGCCGAGUAGUAAAAGCAGUAAUGCGCUCUAAGAGGGGCCCGCGGCCGAUUAGCUUGUUGGUGGGGUAAUGGCCUACCAAGGCGACGAUCGGUAGCUGGUCUGAGAGGAUGGUCAGCCACACGGGGACUGAGAUACGGCCCGACUCCUACGGGAGGCAGCAGCUAAGAAUCUUGCGCAAUGGGCGAAAGCCUGACGCAGCAACGCCGCGUGAAGGACGAAGGCCCUCGGGUUGUAAACUUCUUUUGCGAGGGAAGAAGAUCUGACGGUACCUCGCGAAUAAGCCACGGCUAACUACGUGCCAGCCGCCGCCGUAAU
RNAcentral lists this ribosomal RNA (485 nucleotides) under uncultured Clostridia bacterium. Its description in RNAcentral is "bacterial SSU rRNA". It matches the Rfam family "Bacterial small subunit ribosomal RNA", at positions 9 to 524 of the family's 1533-position model. Lineage: Bacteria; Bacillati; Bacillota; Clostridia. The record is from RNAcentral.